GUGUCAGCAGCCGCGGUAAUACGUAGGGGGCAAGCGUUGUUCGGAUUUACUGGGCGUAAAGCGCGCGUAGGCGGCCCCGCAAGUCCGAUGUGAAAUCCCCCGGCUCAACCGGGGACCCGCGUCGGAGACUGCAGGGCUUGAGUGCAGGAGAGGAGAGCGGAAUUCCCAGUGUAGCGGUGAAAUGCGUAGAUAUUGGGAGGAACACCGGUGGCGAAGGCGGCUCUCUGGACUGCUACUGACGCUGAGGCGCGAAAGCUAGGGGAGCAAACGGGAUUAGAUACCCCUGUAGUCC
RNAcentral lists this ribosomal RNA (292 nucleotides) under uncultured bacterium. RNAcentral describes it as "partial 16S ribosomal RNA". It matches the Rfam family "Bacterial small subunit ribosomal RNA", at positions 505 to 796 of the family's 1533-position model. The record is from RNAcentral.